UAAAAAGUCCUUUAAAUACAAAGG
Molecule: transfer RNA, 24 nt
Filed under: Rhinella gallardoi
Lineage: Eukaryota; Metazoa; Chordata; Amphibia; Anura; Bufonidae
Description: partial tRNA-Phe
Source: RNAcentral